RNAcentral lists this ribosomal RNA (468 nucleotides) under uncultured bacterium. Its description in RNAcentral is "bacterial SSU rRNA". It matches the Rfam family "Bacterial small subunit ribosomal RNA", at positions 29 to 507 of the family's 1533-position model. The record is from RNAcentral.
GUGAACGCUGGCGGCGUGCUUAACACAUGCAAGUCGAACGAGAACGGAUUAUAGCUUGCUAUAAUUGUCAGCUAAGUGGCGCACGGGUGAGUAAUAUAUAGAUAACCUGCCCUCUAGAAAGGAAUAACAGUUGGAAACGACUGCUAAUGCCCUAUAUGCCUUUAAUACAUAAGUAUGCAAGGGAAACGCUUUAGUGCUAGAGGAUGGGUCUGUAUGGUAUCAGCUUGUUGGUGAGGUAAUGGCUCACCAAGGCUAUGACGCCUAACUGGUUUGAGAGGAUGAUCAGUCACACUGGAACUGAGACACGGUCCAGACUCCUACGGGAGGCAGCAGUGGGGAAUAUUGCACAAUGGACGAAAGUCUGAUGCAGCAACGCCGCGUGGAGGAUGACACAUUUCGGUGCGUAAACUCCUUUUAUAUAGGAAGAUAAUGACGGUACUAUAUGAAUAAGCACCGGCUAACUCCGUG